This 445-nucleotide ribosomal RNA is filed under the name uncultured bacterium. Its description in RNAcentral is "partial 16S ribosomal RNA". It matches the Rfam family "Bacterial small subunit ribosomal RNA", at positions 354 to 796 of the family's 1533-position model. The record is from RNAcentral.
GUGAGGAAUAUUGGACAAUGGGCGCAAGCCUGAUCCAGCCAUGCCGCGUGCAGGAAGACGCAUCUAUGGUGUGUAAACUGCUUUUGUACGGGAAGAAACACUCCCUCGUGAGGGAGCUUGACGGUACCGUAAGAAUAAGGAUCGGCUAACUCCGUGCCAGCAGCCGCGGUAAUACGGAGGAUCCAAGCGUUAUCCGGAAUCAUUGGGUUUAAAGGGUCCGUAGGCGGUUUAAUAAGUCAGUGGUGAAAGCCCAUCGCUCAACGAUGGAACGGCCAUUGAUACUGUUAGACUUGAAUUACAAGGAAGUAACUAGAAUAUGUAGUGUAGCGGUGAAAUGCUUAGAUAUUACAUGGAAUACCAAUUGCGAAGGCAGGUUACUACUUGUGGAUUGACGCUGAUGGACGAAAGCGUGGGGAGCGAACAGGAUUAGAUAACCGUGUAGUCC